Molecule: ribosomal RNA, 253 nt
Filed under: uncultured bacterium
Lineage: Bacteria
Description: partial 16S ribosomal RNA
Rfam family: Bacterial small subunit ribosomal RNA
Source: RNAcentral
UACGAAAGGGGCUAGCGUUGUUCGGAAUUACGGGGCGUAAAGCGCACGUCGGCGGCCUUGUAAGUUGGGGGUGAAAUCCCGGAGCUCAACUCCGGAACUGCCUCCAAAACUACAAAGCUCGAGGAUGUGAGAGGAGAGUGGAAUUCCGAGUGUAGAGGUGAAAUUCGUAGAUAUUCGGAAGAACACCAGUGGCGAAGGCGCCUCUCUGGCACAUUUCUGACGCUGAGGUGCGAAAGCGUGGGGAGCAAACAGG